AUUGAACGCUGGCGGCAGGCCUAACACAUGCAAGUCGAACGGUAACAGGAAUCAGCUUGCUGAUUCGCUGACGAGUGGCGGACGGGUGAGUAAUGUCUGGGAAACUGCCUGAUGGAGGGGGAUAACUACUGGAAACGGUAGCUAAUACCGCAUAACGUCGCAAGACCAAAGAGGGGGACCUUCGGGCCUCUUGCCAUCGGAUGGGCCCAGAUGGGAUUAGCUAGUAGGUGGGGUAAUGGCUCACCUAGGCGACGAUCCCUAGCUGGUCUGAGAGGAUGACCAGCCACACUGGAACUGAGACACGGUCCAGACUCCUACGGGAGGCAGCAGUGGGGAAUAUUGCACAAUGGGCGCAAGCCUGAUGCAGCCAUGCCGCGUGUAUGAAGAAGGCCUUCGGGUUGUAAAGUACUUUCAGCGAGGAGGAAGGUGUUGAGGUUAAUAACCUUAGCAAUUGACGUUACUCGCAGAAGAAGCACCGGCUAACUCCGUGCCAGCCGCCGCCGUAA
RNAcentral lists this ribosomal RNA (506 nucleotides) under uncultured bacterium. RNAcentral's name for it is "partial 16S ribosomal RNA". It matches the Rfam family "Bacterial small subunit ribosomal RNA", at positions 30 to 523 of the family's 1533-position model. The record is from RNAcentral.